RNAcentral lists this long non-coding RNA (1853 nucleotides) under Malus domestica (apple). Its description in RNAcentral is "long non-coding RNA (MDOM_LNC005331)". Lineage: Eukaryota; Viridiplantae; Streptophyta; Magnoliopsida; Rosales; Rosaceae. The record is from RNAcentral.
ACCUUGCUUAUAUUCCCCAGUUUUGCAUCUCAUCCAAUCUUUGCUCCACAAACGAACCAAUCCGGAUGAUAUGUGUGGGUAUUUGGACCUCUCACUGCCAAAGUCAUGAAUAGUACCAAAAAUUAAAACGAUCGAUCUAAUUCAUCAACUUUAAUCAACAAACACUACACGUAAAUGUAGAACUACAAAUAUUUUAAACAUGUAAAAGUAACUCAUGGAUAACAAAAAUACAAAAUUAAUCUACAAAAGCAGAAAGUGGUGAAACGGUUCUAUCAAUUUCAAAUCAUGAUCAAUCCCAACAAAGACCAACAUAAUCAGCCAAUAAUGCAUAUGAACCUUUGCCUCCUUGAAUCCAUGGGACCUUAUAAUGUGGGAACCCAACUGAUUUUUUAGCAAAAGAAGUGUCAUUUCUUUGAUUUUGGAGUAAUAGUUGUUUUUUCCUGUCAAUUAGUUGUCUGUUUUUUUUUAAUUAGCUUAUGAAAAAAUGGCUUUAAGGAUAAUGCAAAUGAGGCAUCUUUCAAGGGCCAUAUGGAAUGUGUCUCACACCAUUUCAAACUUUUUUUAAUUACUAUGAUCUUCUACAUCUCUCCUCUCGCUUCAUGAAUUUCAUUUACAAACUUCUCAUUAACUAAGGCCUUUAGCAUCAUGCCCUUUUUUUAGUAAUCAGAUAUUACAAUUUUACACUUGCUUAAAUGAUGAGUUUUAUUAUAGUACUGAUAGUUAUCUAAACCUACCACAUGACGACUCACACUUUUGCCUAAAAUCUGAUAAGACUGCCUUAAUAUGUAAACCUGAGUGGAAGAUUUCUAUAAAGUGAACUCCCACAUUUAUCUUUUGUAGAUGAAGGAAUGAAUGGAAGAAGAUAACCAACUUCUGCACUACCUGUAUGAUUUGUUCAUGUGAUUGAUCAUGGGUAGUUUAGCUAGAUCACAAAACUCAAUCCAUCGGAGUGACACCGGAUUACAGUUUAGGCCUCCUCUUACACCGUCUGUCACAAGCCAGAUGCUUGCAUUUGAACCUUUGCCUCAUUGACUCCAUGGGACCUUACAUUGUGGGAACCCAAUUGAGUUUUGGCAUCUUUCAUUAACUGGAAAAUAAAAAAAACAAAAAACAAAAAGAAAAACACUGUAAUUAUCCUAUAAUCGUAUCUUAUUCUCACUGCUAUUUCAAAUUAAAGGAAAGAAAAAGUUGAAAACCACCUGAGUCAACGAAAUAUCCUGUAAUCAUACAACAUGGAAAUGAAUUUAAAUAAUUAAAUUAAAUUCAACAUUUUGGCUUGAUGAUAUUGGUCGAAUAUUUCCAGUCUUUCUUUCCCCGGGGAAACAGAAUCGACUACAUGGAAUUCUAUUUUAUUUAUUUCCUUUCAUCUUCUAGGCAACCAAAACAGAAAACUUAAAAUAAAAUAAAAAAAGCUAGAAAAGUUGAUGAAACAAACUACAAUAAGCUAUAAACAUUAAAAAUUAAAUGACCAAUUUAAAACAAGAAUAUUACAUGCGACUAAACUUUGAAAUUUCGAGCAGUCUCCAAGCGAGUAAACUUUGACAUGCAUAUAGAAAAGGGAAUUAAAAUUCAAAAUCUAAAAUGGAUCCCAAAACUGAAAGUUUUUAUUUUAGAAAAGAACUUACACUGGAGGACAGCCCACUGAGAGACGAUCAUCUUUACCUCUAGGGUUGAGGUCCAAUUCUGUCAGGCUUGGCCGAAAACUGGCCAAAAAAUAUGCGGUCACCGUUUCUUAGAUCUAAAAUUGAGGAAAUUCGGCUAUGAAUUUGUAGAAAUUAACUUGGGGGUUGGAAACAGGACAGAAAAAGGAUUAUGGGGGUAUAAUUUGACGGUCAUUGGUGAUUGGGGGACGG